AUGGCUCAGAACGAACGCUGGCGGCAGGCCUAACACAUGCAAGUCGAGCGCGCCCUUCGGGGUGAGCGGCGGACGGGUUAGUAACGCGUGGGAACCCGUACCUUUGGUAGGGAAUAGCCACUGGAAACGGUGAGUAAUACCCUAUGAGCCCUUCGGGGGAAAGAUUUAUCGCCAAAGGAUCGGCCCGCGUUAGAUUAGGUAGUUGGUGGGGUAAUGGCCUACCAAGCCUACGAUCUAUAGCUGGUUUUAGAGGAUGAUCAGCAACACUGGGACUGAGACACGGCCCAGACUCCUACGGGAGGCAGCAGUGGGGAAUCUUGGACAAUGGGGGCAACCCUGAUCCCAGCCAUGCCGCGUGAGUGAAGAAGGCCUUAGGGUCGUAAAGCUCUUUCGCCUGUGAAGAUAAUGACGGUAGCAGGUAAAGAAACCCCGGCUAACUCCGUGCCAGCAGCUGC
RNAcentral lists this ribosomal RNA (455 nucleotides) under uncultured bacterium. RNAcentral describes it as "bacterial SSU rRNA". It matches the Rfam family "Bacterial small subunit ribosomal RNA", at positions 19 to 518 of the family's 1533-position model. The record is from RNAcentral.